RNAcentral lists this ribosomal RNA (239 nucleotides) under uncultured bacterium. RNAcentral's name for it is "partial 16S ribosomal RNA". It matches the Rfam family "Bacterial small subunit ribosomal RNA", at positions 15 to 235 of the family's 1533-position model. The record is from RNAcentral.
UAUCAUGGCUCAGGACGAACGCUGGCGGCGUGCUUAACACAUGCAAGUCGAACGGAGCACCCUUGACUGAGGUUUCGGCCAAAUGAUAGGAAUGCUUAGUGGCGGACUGGUGAGUAACGCGUGAGGAACCUGCCUUCCAGAGGGGGACAACAGUUGGAAACGACUGCUAAUACCGCAUGACGCAUGACCGGGGCAUCCCGGGCAUGUCAAAGAUUUUAUCGCUGGAAGAUGGCCUCGCG